CGCGAAUCUUUACAAUGCACGAAAGUGUGAUAAGGAGCCUCCGAGUGCUUUCGGGAAACCGAAAGCUUUUGUCAAGUGUAGACAGCUUGAUGAAUAAGGACUGGGUAAGACCCGUGCCAGCCGCCGCGGUAAUACGGGCAGUCCAAGUGGUGUCCAUGUAUAUUGGGCUUAAAGCGUCCGUAGCCGGCUUAGCAAGUUUCCUGUUAAACUCAGCGACCUAAUCGUUGAAUCGCGGGAAAUACUACUAGGCUAGGAGGCGGGAGAGGUCGACGGUACUUCCGGGGUAGGGGUGAAAUCCUAUAAUCCCGGGAGGACCACCAGUGGCGAAGGCUGUCGACUAGAACGCGCUCGACGGUGAGGGACGAAAGCUGGGGGAGCGAACCGGAUUAGAUACCCGGGUAGUCCCAGCUGUAAACGAUGCGGGCUAGGUGUUGGGGUGGCUACGAGCCACUUCAGUGCCGCAGGGAAGCCAUUAAGCCCGCCGCCUGGGGAGUACGGCCGCAAGGCUGAAACUUAAAGGAAUUGGCGGGGGAGCAC
RNAcentral lists this ribosomal RNA (537 nucleotides) under uncultured archaeon. Its description in RNAcentral is "bacterial SSU rRNA". It matches the Rfam family "Archaeal small subunit ribosomal RNA", at positions 340 to 879 of the family's 1478-position model. The record is from RNAcentral.